AACGAACGCUGGCGGCGUGGAUAAGACAUGCAAGUCGAACGGGACAUUAUUUGUAGCAAUACAAAUGAUGUUCAGUGGCGCAAGGGUGUGUAACACGUGGGCAAUCUACCGGAAAGUGGGGAAUAGCUCGCCGAAAGGCGAAUUAAUACCGCAUAUGGCCAGGGAAGACCUCUUCCCGCAGCCAAAGCUGGGGCAACCUAGCGCUUACCGAUGAGCCCGCGGCCUANCAGCUAGUUGGCGGGGUAACGGCCCACCAAGGCGAUGACGGGUAGCUGGUCUGAGAGGACGACCAGUCACACUGGAACUGAGACACGGUCCAGACACCUACGGGUGGCAGCAGUCGAGAAUUUUUCNCAAUGGGGAAACCCUGAAGGAGCGACGCCGCGUGGAGGAUGAAGGUCUUCGGGUUGUAAACUCCUGUCAUUUGAGAACAAGGUGCACCGGUUAACUGCCGGUGCAUUGAUAGUAUCAGAAGAGGAAGAGACGGCUAACUCUGU
RNAcentral lists this ribosomal RNA (497 nucleotides) under uncultured bacterium. Its description in RNAcentral is "bacterial SSU rRNA". It matches the Rfam family "Bacterial small subunit ribosomal RNA", at positions 29 to 506 of the family's 1533-position model. The record is from RNAcentral.